GAUUUCUGACAAAGCGGGGCGGCCCGUGCUCUUAAUGGGUGCUGUGUGCCGUGUCGUGUUUGUCAUCCUUCCAGAGAGCUACGUCUACCAUUCAUUUGGCCGGACGUACGUGAUCUGGAUCGAUUACUUUGAAAAAAUUAGAGUGUUUAAAGCAGGCUUAUGCUGUGAAUACAUUAGCAUGGAAUAAUAAUAUAGGACUUUGGUUCUAUUUUGUUGGUUUCUAGGACUGAAGUAAUGAUUGAUAGGGAUAGUUGGGGGUGCUAGUAUUCCGCGGCCAGAGGUGAAAUUCUUGGAUUCGCGGAAGACUAACUACUGCGAAAGCAUU
Molecule: ribosomal RNA, 325 nt
Filed under: uncultured Corythion
Lineage: Eukaryota; Cercozoa; Imbricatea; Euglyphida; Trinematidae
Description: SSU rRNA
Rfam family: Eukaryotic small subunit ribosomal RNA (bases 109-325)
Source: RNAcentral